UUAAUUUCUUAAGGUGACAUGCGGUGACUCGAAUAUCGGAACGAAUAUGACGGAGCGUUCUACACAGACUCCUUGAAGUGCUACACACAGUGUUACCCGCUUCUGAAAGACCAGCUGUGUUAAUCUGGAACUUUGGAUGUGAAAGUGAACAGCCAGCAGCCCUGCAUGGACUACUGCAAAGAGGCCAAGGCUAUCAUCAUGAAACGGAGCAAGAAGGACAUUAUGUCCUUUUUCUUUUUUCUUUCUAUUUUUCCUCCUGGCUGUAUAUAAACAAAGAGUGAGAUGAUGAGUGUGAUUUAGAUAAAGACGGUGUGAUUGUACAGUUAAGUCUCAUGCUGUGAUAAGAAGUCUGUAUGUAGCUAAAUGCUUGGAUUAAAAGAGUUUUAUGCAAAUUUA
Long non-coding RNA from Mugil cephalus (flathead mullet), 396 nucleotides. RefSeq lists it as uncharacterized. The record is from RefSeq and is a predicted model, not a curated record. The transcript has 2 exons. NCBI's taxonomy places the organism in Eukaryota, Metazoa, Chordata, Actinopteri, Mugiliformes, Mugilidae.